RNAcentral lists this ribosomal RNA (726 nucleotides) under Triticum aestivum (bread wheat). Its description in RNAcentral is "partial small subunit ribosomal RNA". Lineage: Eukaryota; Viridiplantae; Streptophyta; Magnoliopsida; Poales; Poaceae. The record is from RNAcentral.
AUGUUCAGACGUAGGCUUACCCCUGAAUUAUCCAAGCAAUGGGAAGAUAUGCGUGCUGUGGUCAAUAAAAUCCCCCUUACUGAGAGGGAUGAUCGUAUUUUCUGGGGACUCAACCGGAAUGGCAAGUUCACCACUAAGUCCGUAUAUAAAAUGCUGGAGAAACCCUUGAGUGGGUGCCAUUAUAGAUGGAUUUGGAAAGCCAAGAUCCCUCUUAAAAUCAAGAUCUUUCUGUGGCAAAUGUCGCAAGACGCAGUCCUUACUAGACAAGUGAUGAGCAAAAGAAAUUGGACAGGGAAUCCCUGUUGCUCUUUCUGCAAACAGGUGGAAACGGUAAAGCACUUGUUCUUUACUUGUCCCGUGGCCAGAAUUGUUUGGCGAUCCAUUGGAGUAGCUCUUGGCACCGAUAGAUGCCCGUCGAACUACUGGCAAUACUUUGUGUGGUGCCACAAAUUCCUUCCUAGGAAGCAAAAGUUUCAUACGGUGGGACUAGCGGCCAUAUGUUGGGCCAUUUGGUUGGCACGCAAUCGAGCUACUUUUGAAAAGAAACAAAUUAAGACUCCUUUUGAGAUUGUGUUUUCUCUAUGUUCCUUUCUAUUAUAUUGGACAGGGCUUCAACAAGGAGAGGACGCUAAGGAUCUUCGCGCUGGAGCUGAGAUGAUCAGGACUGAGACGAUGAAGCUGAUGAAGAUGUGUGGUGCUAUCAAGAAACCAAUCCAAGGUGCCUGA